UGCAGUCGNNCGAACCUUUUAGGUGAGUGGCGCACGGGUGCGUAACGCGUGGGAACCUACAUCCAGGUGGGGAAUAACACAGAGAAAUUUGUGCUAAUACCCCAUAAUAUCUCCGGAUCAAAGAUUUAUCGCCUGGGGAUGGGCCCGCGUUAGAUUAGGUAGUUGGUGGGGUAAAAGCCUACCAAGCCGACGAUCUAUAGCUGGUCUUAGAGGACGAUCAGCCACACUGGUACUGAGACACGGACCAGACUCCUACGGGAGGCAGCAGUGAGGAAUAUUGCGCAAUGGGGGCAACCCUGACGCAGCCAUGCCGCGUGAGUGAAGAAGGCCCUAGGGUUGUAAAGCUCUUUCAGAUGCGAAGAUAAUGACGGUACCAUCAGAAGAAGCUCCGGCUAAAUUCGUGCCAGCAGCCGCGGUAAUACGAAUGGAGCGAGCGUUGUUCGGAAUCACUGGGCGUAAAGCGUAUGUAGGCGGAUUUGCAAGUCAGAAGUGAAAUCCCGGGGCUUAACCCCGGAACUGCUUUUGAAACUGCAAAUCUAGAAUCCCGGAGAGGUCAGGGGAAUUCCGAGUGUAGAGGUGAAAUUCGCAGAUAUUCGGAGGAACACCAGUGGCGUANGCGCCUGACUGGACGGGUAUUGACGCUGAGAUACGAAAGCGUGNGGAGCAAACAGGAUUAGAUACCCUGGUAGUCCACGCCGUAAACGAUGUGUGCUAGUUGUCGGGCAGUAUACUGUUCGGUGACGCANCUNNCGCAUUAAGCACACCGCCNGGGGAGUACGGUCGCAAGAUUAAAACUCAAAGGAAUUGACGGGGANCCGCACAAGCGGUGGANCAUGNUGUUUAAUUCGANGCAACGC
RNAcentral lists this ribosomal RNA (857 nucleotides) under uncultured bacterium. RNAcentral's name for it is "bacterial SSU rRNA". It matches the Rfam family "Bacterial small subunit ribosomal RNA", at positions 56 to 962 of the family's 1533-position model. The record is from RNAcentral.